UUAAGUACUUGGGAAUGCUCAUGGCACACCUCAUGGAUCUACAGACACAUCCAUAAGGAAAAAAGUUAAACAAACAAUCAAAAUGUCAAGAUAUUCACCCGGCACCAAGGAGAUGGAAUGACCAGAACUAGACAAGAGCAUGAGUGAAGGCGUUUUCUCCUAAAGUACAGAAGAAUUGCCCAGAUCUACUCAACUGAAAGCAAUCAAACUGCCUAACUUGGAUGACAAAUUUAUCUAGAACUGUAGAAGCUACACACACCACUGAAAAAAUACAGGUGAGUAGCUGGAGCUGAGGGAAAUGUAUAAUCCCAAAUGUCAUGAAGACUAGUUUGUACACUGACGGGCAGAAAAAGUACAUUUAAGCACAGAGACAGAUCAGAUGAAAUACAGACUUCUAAAGGAUCAACACUGGGAACUGGUGGACAUAAUCAUCAAAAAGCACAACUGUUUAACUCAGCCCUUGGAUAACUGUCUCCAUGCCCAUGACUGACUUUCUUCAGAAAUUAGUAGCUCUUCUUUUUCAAAUGCCUCUUUGUUCAAUGGAUUUUUUGCACCUUCAGUUUUCACUUAGUAUAAUAGAAUUUUUGAAUCAUUUAGCUUGGAAAAUAUCUCUAGCAGCAUCAAGUCCAACUGUUAACCCAACACUGUCAAGUCCAGCUCUAAACCAUGUCCCCGAAUGCCUUAUCUGCAUGUCUUUUAAAUGCCUCUAGGGAUGGUGACUAAAUCCCUUACCUCCAUGGACAGCCUUUUCCAAUGCUUGACAACAGUUUCAGUGAAAAUGUUUUCCUGAGAUCCAGCACAACUGAGUAAAUCCUAGUAAAUUCCUGUCCUAGCACAACUUGAGUAAAUCUUUCAAACCUGACAACCUGACUCACCAGUACACAUCCAUCUGCACCCUACAGAGGAAACAGUGAAUUGCACUGAUAGAAGACAUGCUGAGCAGAUCCAUUAAAAAAUGGACUUAUGAAAACUAGGCAGUAUCACAGAUUCAAAUCCAAAUCACAUACAAACACUCCACACAUGCAGAUACAUACAUUUGCAGAAUACAUUUUUUGACCAUAAAUAAUACACAAGAUCUCAUUAUUUUAUGGAGAAGGUUUUGUCAGAUGACCUUGACAGAUCCCUCACAAAUCAAGCUGGAUACCAAAACAAAACAGAAACAUACAAAGAAAGAAAAAACUCCAAACAAACAGACCAAAAAAACACCUUUCCAAAAAAACUCCAAAGCCACAGAAUCAAACCUCAUUUUAUCAAUGAAUGAUGCCAUGUUGCCUUUGCAGGAAGGCAAAGGUGUCAAACAAGCCAUGUCAGAUUUUGUCAUUCCAGCUUUGUACAAGCACAUUGCUUGGUUCGGUUAAUAUGGUGAUUGUAGAGCCCAUGCAUUCCCAUCACACUAACCAUUUUCAGGCCAAGAGUAGAUGUUUAUAACCUUUCCUCUUUGCCACAGGUUGAAAUGUCUGUAAUCCAAUCCAUUAAAGUCCUAAUGGGGGAAAGUCACAGGUCAAAGCAGAAAAUCAUAUUGGGUGAACCAGAGUUGCUUAACGAGGUCAAGUGAGACACAUUCCUGCUAGAAUUAUAUUGACAUGUUCUGCCAAGGUAUUCCUUACCAUCCCUGGCCCCCGGCCCUUGACACAUGAACAAAUCUAGUCAAUAUUUGGAGUAAAUUCCCACUAUGACCCUGUUGUGUCAUUGUGAACAUGCAUACCCACAAGUUGAGACAAGAACAGAGGCACUUACAAGAGCAGAAAGGACAGACUGAGACCUCAGUUUAUGAUCAAAGUGGAUGCCAGGGAGGAAUAUUGAACAGAUCAUUGGACUAAAAGCUGGGAA
This is a long non-coding RNA of Passer domesticus (house sparrow), 1830 nucleotides long. RefSeq lists it as uncharacterized. The transcript has 5 exons. The record is from RefSeq and is a predicted model, not a curated record. NCBI's taxonomy places the organism in Eukaryota, Metazoa, Chordata, Aves, Passeriformes, Passeridae.